UAAAAAAAACUGUUAAAUCCAGAGAUAUAAUCAUCAAAUCAAUCCAAAAUUAUAAAAAAUAUAUAAUUGGUUUUCUUAAAUUGGUUUUUUGUUUGAAAGAGCCAAACUCCUGUUUGGCAAGAACUCAUGCAAUCAGAAUCUCCAUCGAGGCUAGGCAAACACUUAAGACUGGGACUUUGAGAUCAAGGGAUAUUUUCCUGAUAAAGAUUGUAGGAUUGUUGACUCAAGAAGCAACACAAUGGCACAGAUAGGGGUGAAGAAGGAGUUGAUGGCAAGCAAGGAUCUCUACCAUGUUGGGGUGACACCAGACAUGGAUCACGCUUUUGUUAUAGGGGUCAUUACCAUUCUUGAUUACAUAUAUGGUGAAUCCACUAGGUGCUAGUAAUUCAUAUAUUCAGGAGAAGCUGUACUAACCGGGGAGGUAUCUUCGCAAUCUGACGAUUUGAAGUUGAAAAAAGGACCUAAAACCCAAAAAACCAAGCUGCUGUUUUGCCCAGAAAUUUGAAGCUUUUCGUCACCAAAAUUUUUUAGCGACGGAUGUUCAUAGAUUUUUCGUGGCUAAACAUUUUCUGCGACAGUGUUCUUCAAAUUUUUCGUCACCAAAAGUCAAAUUUCCAGAUCAACUUCAGACAUAUAUAUAUAUAUAUGCCUUGGGCUCUGGCCAAUUGAGACAGAUGUUCCAAAUUUCCUAUUUUUUUGUAUUUCCCUGAUCCUGGUUAUAUAUCUAUUAUAUAAUUUUGGAUUGA
Prunus mume (Japanese apricot) is the source of this 746-nucleotide non-coding RNA. The record is from RefSeq and is a predicted model, not a curated record. Lineage: Eukaryota; Viridiplantae; Streptophyta; Magnoliopsida; Rosales; Rosaceae.